Papaver somniferum (opium poppy) is the source of this 2273-nucleotide long non-coding RNA. RefSeq lists it as uncharacterized. The transcript is spliced from 7 exons. Lineage: Eukaryota; Viridiplantae; Streptophyta; Magnoliopsida; Ranunculales; Papaveraceae. The record is from RefSeq and is a predicted model, not a curated record.
UUGAUGGUCUCAGCAAAUGGAAUCGAAACUGGGAAUUGAUUUUCAAGCAAACCAAUUGGAAAGCUGCCAACCCAAACUAGGUCCAGGAUAAAAAUGAAAUUGCAAACUGAUAUUGAAUUCUUCAAGGAAGAGAAGGAUGAAUUUAUUUGUUCUCCGAUUUAUGAAGUUAAUGAAUCUCUUAAUGAACAAGUGAAGACAUCAACUGAGAACGAAAUAAUGGUUGCCAGGUACACUCAAGAGCUUCGGGAAGUUCGGCAAGAGCUAAUCAAGCAAAUGGAGUCAGAAAGGGCAACCCGAAAUGCGGUGGUGAUUGGAGUAAAGGGAAUGAAAGGAGAUCAAGUGCUCUGGAACUUUAAGGAGAAGAAGAGAGCCUUUGCCGGUAUACAUUUAGGUGGCCUAAGAUUUUCAGCUGGACAGUAAGAAUUUGGUAGUGUUUAAUUUUUGAGGUUUUUUUGGUACACUAGGGGGAGAUUGUAAAUGUGUGUGAAAGGGAACAAGUUGUAUUCACUCACCUACUUAAUGCUGUCCGCCCGAUUGCUAUGAAAACCAUAUCAGUAAAAGUAGCAGAACCAAGACAUCAUGUUGGAAGAAUUGCUUCAAAAGGAGAAGGAAUCUCUCCACAUAAGUCUAAAUAACGUGACAAGGAAAGGGGAUAUAGGAGUUGCUCUUCCAUUCAUAUGUAUGGGAGCAGGAGCCUCCAGGAAGGCUCAACUACCAAGCAAGGUGGUGGUAAAUGAUUCUCCCAGUUUUGAUUCCACGCUUAUAUAUGCAAGAUGUGAAAAAAAAUCCAAUCUGGAAGGAAGUGGUGAACAGGUGGAUUUUUCACCUAGGAAUUCGGGCCACAUCUUUCUUCAAGUUUAAGUUAAAUGCCCCAGCUGAUCCUUUAUAGACUGGGAUACAUAUGUGGAGGGAACCUCGAUCCAGCAUGGACUGGUGAAGAUAAGCCAGGGAGUAAUAUGAUACUGGAAGUAAAUGGUUCUGCACAUACUGAAGUGGCACCAGGUUCAUCGACUAAAGGCGAAACUGAAUUGGAGAGGUGAAAGUUGGAAAAGCAUGUCGAAGACCUGGGUAUGGCUGAGGUCACCAAAUCUAAUCACCUAGUAUUGCCCGUGAAAGUAGAAGAUAACUUAGACACAGCGCAUAGUAUCUUGGGAUCUCCUUCCCGAACUUCUACAGCUCUUACAACAAGAUUUCUUCUGGGAACACUUCAAAGCUUGAGCCCCUUAAUGACUAUAAUCCUGUUCAUGUCUGUCAUCAUUUUAUGAAAUAUCGCACUGCCAGGGAGGGUAUAGAUCUACUCUUCCUAUCGGUUCAAAUGAAACUACUGUGAUGUGUUGACAAGCCAAGAAGUAUCACAUGACACACUCCAGUCUCGAAAAGUUAUUACGUUCGGGUGUCUGAUGAGUGGGGGAGGCCCAAAGAUGCUACAGAAUCUUAUGUUCCUUUACGACUUUAUGAUUCAUUCAGUCUUCAGUCGUUUCAUUAUGUCGAUGAAACAACCUCUGAAUCUUUUAAUUCUUGAAUCUAUAAAUAGUAGCAUUUUAUCCAUGUCUGGGUCGCGAAGCUCUAUGAUUUCGAAUCCAUUCGUGUAGACAAAGGCGUUACACUGUUAUAGGGGCUUUUCCUGACGAUGGUCCACUUGGGAAGGUGAAGUAUUCUGUGACUUGUUACUGGGGAAAGGGGUUUGAACCCUUAAGGAGGACAUGUUGCCAUCUGAGCUAGAUUUCGCAGGGUCCCUUUGUCGUUGUAAGAAGUAGAGUGCUUAGGGUGGUAUGAGCAACGUCUUUUGGCCGAAUCGUUGGAUGAAAUAACCAAGACAGUACUGGAGUCAUUUAUCAAGUUUUCACCGGAUUAUAUUAAGUGUCCAUGUGAAUCGAUCUGUACAAUAAGCGCAACUUGCCUGGCAAUGAUGCUGGAGAUCUAUCAGGUUUUCCAUCGUGGUUGGCUUUUUUCAUGUUCAUUUCCUGCUCAUUCAUUGGGUUGCCGAUUCCAAGAAUUUCUUGGAGAGACCACCCUCGUGAUAUUUCAAUCCUCAAAACGUCAAAAGAGCUAGAGGUUUACUUGUUAGCUGUCUUGGAUGGAGGUAUCUUGGCGUUCUGCAUGACUACUUCUAUGGUUUCUGCAAAUAGAGAUACUUCUUCUUCCUCCGUCGCACCAGAACUUAUGGAGAGUGAAUCAUCGAGUGCCCAAAAUGGCGGGAGGACAACUUGGACCCCUCCAAUGGAUGAACUGUUGAUAGAACUUAUGGUAGAACAGGUGCUUAAGAAACAACU